AUUCUUUAUUCACUACUCAUAUUUCUGUGGCUUCCUUGAUCCAGGUCUCUGAUGUCUCUCAUUUCUUCUUAGCUUAAGGUAGGAUCAGUCCUAGAUCAGACAACAGAGAAAAAUGAUAGCAUCUGACUCUUGAGUCUCAGCUCCACUUUGAGGCCCUCCUUUACACUCUGGGUGCUCACGUCUCCCCUUUGUCCUCUGCCCCAGCUGUGAUGUGCCCUCUUGGCUUCAUGCUCUGCAGUUGCUUCUCUCUCCCUUAGUUCGAGAUCUCAGGGAGAGUCAAGUACAUGCAACUACCCUACCUUUUCAGACAUCAGUUUCUUCAUCUGAAAUAAAGAAAAUGCAAGAGAAACUGUCUUAUCCAAGAGAGAGAGGACUGUUUCUGGAAAACAACAGAAAAAGUUGAGGAAUCAUUAAAUAAAUG
This 421-nucleotide long non-coding RNA is filed under the name Bos taurus (domestic cattle). RNAcentral describes it as "long non-coding RNA NONBTAT013468". Lineage: Eukaryota; Metazoa; Chordata; Mammalia; Artiodactyla; Bovidae. The record is from RNAcentral.